CAGUGGGGAAUAUUGCACAAUGGGCGCAAGCCUGAUGCAGCGACGCCGCGUGGGGGAUGACGGCCUUCGGGUUGUAAACCUCUUUCACCAUCGGCGAAGCCGGUAGCUUUUGUUGUCGGUGACGGUAGGUGGAGAAGAAGCACCGGCCAACUACGUGCCAGCAGCCGCGGUAAUACGUAGGGUGCGAGCGUUGUCCGGAAUUACUGGGCGUAAAGAGCUCGUAGGUGGUUUGUCGCGUUGUCCGUGAAGUUCCCUGGCUUAACUGGGGGCGUGCGGGCGAUACGGGCAGACUGGAGUACUGCAGGGGAGACUGGAAUUCCUGGUGUAGCGGUGGAAUGCGCA
RNAcentral lists this ribosomal RNA (342 nucleotides) under uncultured bacterium. Its description in RNAcentral is "bacterial SSU rRNA". It matches the Rfam family "Bacterial small subunit ribosomal RNA", at positions 352 to 692 of the family's 1533-position model. The record is from RNAcentral.